AGCGAACGCUGGCGGCAGGCUUAACACAUGCAAGUCGAGCGCCCGUAGCAAUACGGGAGCGGCAGACGGGUGAGUAACACGUGGGAACGUGCCUUUCGGUUCGGAACAACCCAGGGAAACUUGGGCUAAUACCGGAUACGCCCUUCACGGGGAAGGAUUAUCGCCGAAGAUCGGCCCGCGUCUGAUUAGCUAGUUGGUGGGGUAACGGCGUCACCAAGGCGACGAUCAGUAGCUGGUCUGAGAGGAUGAUCAGCCACACUGGGACUGAGACACGGCCCAGACUCCUACGGGAGGCAGCAGUGGGGAAGUCUUGCGCAAUGGGCGAAGCCUGAUGCAGCGACGUCGCGUGAAGGAUGAAAUC
RNAcentral lists this ribosomal RNA (361 nucleotides) under uncultured bacterium. RNAcentral's name for it is "bacterial SSU rRNA". It matches the Rfam family "Bacterial small subunit ribosomal RNA", at positions 29 to 415 of the family's 1533-position model. The record is from RNAcentral.